GACGAACGCUGGCGGCGCGCCUAACACAUGCAAGUCGAACGGAGCUGAGAGAAGCUUGCUUUUCUUAGCUUAGUGGCGAACGGGUGAGUAACGCGUGAGUAACCUGCCCUGGAGUGGGGGACAACAGUUGGAAACGACUGCUAAUACCGCAUAAGCCCACGAUCCGGCAUCGGAUUGAGGGAAAAGGAUUUAUUCGCUUCAGGAUGGACUCGCGACCAAUUAGCUAGUUGGUGAGGUAACGGCCCACCAAGGCGACGAUUGGUAGCCGGACUGAGAGGUUGAACGGCCACAUUGGGACUGAGACACGGCCCAGACUCCUACGGGAAGCAGCAGUGGGGGAUAUUGCACAAUGGGGGAAACCCUGAUGCAGCGACGCCGCGUGGAGGAAGAAGGUUUUCGGAUUGUAAACUCCUGUCGUUAGGGACGAUAAUGACGGUACCUAACAAGAAAGCACCGGCUAACUACGUG
This 468-nucleotide ribosomal RNA is filed under the name uncultured bacterium. RNAcentral describes it as "partial 16S ribosomal RNA". It matches the Rfam family "Bacterial small subunit ribosomal RNA", at positions 28 to 507 of the family's 1533-position model. The record is from RNAcentral.